AUAAUACUCCUUCCGUCCGGAAUUGUUUGUCAUCAAAAUGGAUGUGUCUAGAACUAAAAUACAUCUAGAUACAUCCAUUUCAAUGACAAGUAUUUUCGAACGGAGGGAGUAGUAG
This is a non-coding RNA of Triticum aestivum (bread wheat), 115 nucleotides long. NCBI's taxonomy places the organism in Eukaryota, Viridiplantae, Streptophyta, Magnoliopsida, Poales, Poaceae. The record is from Rfam.